Maniola jurtina (meadow brown) is the source of this 112-nucleotide long non-coding RNA. RefSeq lists it as uncharacterized. The record is from RefSeq and is a predicted model, not a curated record. The transcript is spliced from 3 exons. NCBI's taxonomy places the organism in Eukaryota, Metazoa, Arthropoda, Insecta, Lepidoptera, Nymphalidae.
UCCCGACCCAUUAAAUGCGAAAGUGUGUUUGUUUGUUGGUUUGUCCUUCAACCACGUCACAACAGAGCGACGGAUUCGCGUUAUUUUUUGCACGGAUAUAGAUAAGAAUCUA